RNAcentral lists this long non-coding RNA (718 nucleotides) under Equus caballus (horse). RNAcentral's name for it is "lncRNA (ENSECAG00000053566.1)". The record is from RNAcentral. Lineage: Eukaryota; Metazoa; Chordata; Mammalia; Perissodactyla; Equidae.
CUGUCUUUUUACCUGUCUCUGCCUGGGGAAAAGGAGCUGCUUUCAUUGAUGGUUAUUACGGAAGCACUUGGAAGCUGAAGAUCAGCCGGAGGACUCACUGCGCUUCCCCCCACUGCCUCCCCUCCCCCGACUUACUGCCAGAAACCAACUGACUUCCAAACUUGGCCGUCUGAAAAAGAAUGUUCUCUGAUUGGCAUUCCUGGAAGCAGAAAGCAAGGCAGCUCAAGUUUUGUUCUGUUACUCAGCAUGAAAAACUUCCCAGACAGCAGGAGGAGAGGGUGCACAAAUGCUUCCAGCUCCUUGUGAAGUCUUCUUUUCCAAGACUGUCGCGUGAACUUUGAUAUGUACUACAAGAGACGAGAAAGGAAGUUUUUCAAGGUGAAGGAAAAUUAUUCCUAAUGGAAGCCUGGAUCUACAAAAGGGAAUGAAAAGCACUAGAAUGGAUAAAUGAAUAAACAUCUGGUACAUAGCUGUAUAUUCCUCAUUGUGGGUCCUUCCAGCUGUGGCAUGUGGGACGCCGCCCCAGCGUGGCCGGAUGAGCGGUGCCACGCUCGCGCCCAGGACCCGAACCAACGAAACAUGGGGCCGCCUGCAGCGGAGCGUGCGAACACAACCACUCAGCCACGGGGCCAGCCCCUCUAUGGUAACUUUUAUUACAGUAUAUUGCUAUAAUUGUUCUAUUUCAUUAUUAGUGAUUAAUAAGAGUUGUUAAUCUCUU